UGGCUCAGAACGAACGCUGGCGGCAGGCCUAACACAUGCAAGUCGAACGAAUACGACCCUAGCUUGCUAGGGAAACGGUUAGUGGCGGACGGGUGAGUAACGCGUGGGAAUGUACCUCAUAGUACGGGACAACAGUUGGAAACGACUGCUAAUACCGUAUACCUUCUCCGGAAGAAAGAUUUAUCGCUAUGAGAUCAGCCCGCGUUGGAUUAGUUAGUUGGUGGGGUAACGGCCUACCAAGGCAACGAUCUAUAGCUGGUUUGAGAGAAUGAUCAGCCACACUGGAACUGAGACACGGUCCAGACUCCUACGGGAGGCAGCAGUGAGGAAUAUUGGACAAUGGGGGAAACCCUGAUCCAGCGACGCCGCGUGAACGACGAAGUCCUUCGGGAUGUAAAGUUCUUUUAAAUGGGAAGAAGACCGUGACGGUACCAAUUGAAUAAGCCCCGGCUAACUACGUGCCAGCAGCCGCGGUAAGACGUAGGGGGCAAGCGUUACCCGGAAUCACUGGGCGUAAAGGGAGCGUAGGCGGUUAUGCAGGUCAUACGUUAAAGCAUUCGGCUCAACCGAAGAGAUGCGUAUGAAACCGUAUAACUUGAGGAUAUCAGAGGAAAAGGGAAUUACCAUUGUAGGGGUGAAAUCCGUAGAGAGUGGUAAGAAUGCCGGUGGCGAAGGCGCUUUUCCGGGGUAUACCUGACGCUGAGGCUCGAAAGCCAGGGGAGCGAACCGGAUUAGAUACCCGGGUAGUCCUGGCCGUAAACGAUGUUCACUAGGUGUAGGAUGUCGACAGGCAAACUGUGCUGAAGCAAACGCGAUAAGUGAACCGCCUGGGGAGUACGUCCGCAAGGAUGAAACUCAAAGGAAUUGACGGGGGCCCGCACAAGCGGUGGAGCGUGUGGUUUAAUUCGAAGCUAAGCGAAGAACCUCACCAGGUCUUGACAUAUAGGUAGUAGGGAAGCGAAAGCGGACCGACUUUAGUUUACUAAAGAGCCUAUACAGGUGGUGCAUGGUCGUCGUCAGCUCGUGCCGUGAGGUGUUGGGUUAAGUCCCGCAACGAGCGCAACCCUUGUUUUUAGUUGCCAGCAUUAAGGUGGGCACUCUAAAGAGACUGCCGUCGAAGAGACGGAGGAAGGAGGGGACGACGUCAGAUCAUCAUGCCCCUUAUGAUCUGGGCUACACACGCGCUACAAUGGGUUAGGCAGAAGGCGAAACUGCAAAGUGGAGGGAAUCCUAAAACUAACCCCCAGUUCAGAUUGUAGGCUGAAACCCGCCUACAUGAAGUGGGAAUCGCUAGUAAUCGCAGAUCAGAACGCUGCGGUGAAUACGUUCCCGGGCAUUGUACACACCGCCCGUCACACCACCCGAGUUGGGUAUACCUGAAG
Molecule: ribosomal RNA, 1382 nt
Filed under: uncultured organism
Description: 16S ribosomal RNA
Rfam family: Bacterial small subunit ribosomal RNA
Source: RNAcentral